AAUCAACGCUGGCGGCGCGCCUAACACAUGCAAGUCGAACGAGAAAGUGGAGCAAUCCAUGAGUACAGUGGCGUACGGGUGAGUAACACGUGGAUAACCUGCCCCUUUGUGGGGAAUACCGUUGGGAAACCGACGACAAUACCGCAUAAGCUCGAGAGAGGAAAGCAGCAAUGCGCAGAGGGAGGGGUCCGCGGUCGAUUAGCUAGUUGGUGAGGUAAUGGCUCACCAAGGCUGUGAUCGAUAGCCGGCCUGAGAGGGCACACGGCCACA
This 270-nucleotide ribosomal RNA is filed under the name uncultured bacterium. Its description in RNAcentral is "partial 16S ribosomal RNA". It matches the Rfam family "Bacterial small subunit ribosomal RNA", at positions 32 to 312 of the family's 1533-position model. The record is from RNAcentral.